RNAcentral lists this small RNA (385 nucleotides) under Cladophialophora carrionii. RNAcentral's name for it is "A. fumigatus sRNA Afu_309". It matches the Rfam family "A. fumigatus sRNA Afu_309". The record is from Rfam by way of RNAcentral. Lineage: Eukaryota; Fungi; Ascomycota; Eurotiomycetes; Chaetothyriales; Herpotrichiellaceae.
CUUCUUCUUCCAACCACAGUUCUGGGUCGCGAACGAUCCCUCCCUGUCCUCACCCUCGUAAGGACAGUGCGAGGUCGAACGUUCGUGACGACUCGACUCUCUGCGCGGAGCACAUUGCAAACCCCUCCAUAAUGUUUAUUUCCCGGUCGACAGAACUGAGAGCACCCCUUUCUCGACCUUUCGCCCUGCUGUGGGCCAGUCCGCUCGAGCUCGGUCCUUGAGACGUCGUUUGCUUUGAGGUCUUCGCGAUCUUGGCGGCUUCCGAACGGGGACUUUGAUAGCUCGGCGGCCUGAGGUCGGGGGGAGACGUCUUAUUCCCAAGCUUGGUGUACGCGCCUCGUCGAGGCAUGAUCAUUGGGCAAAACCAAGACUAUUGUCUACAGAC